RNAcentral lists this ribosomal RNA (1287 nucleotides) under Nitrincola sp. A-D6. RNAcentral's name for it is "bacterial LSU rRNA". It matches the Rfam family "Bacterial large subunit ribosomal RNA", at positions 1678 to 2925 of the family's 2925-position model. Lineage: Bacteria; Pseudomonadati; Pseudomonadota; Gammaproteobacteria; Oceanospirillales; Oceanospirillaceae. The record is from RNAcentral.
AUACCAAGGCGCUUGAGAGAACUCGGGUGAAGGAACUAGGCAAAAUGGUGCCGUAACUUCGGGAGAAGGCACGCCGAUGAAGGUGAAGGACUAGCUCCGUAAGCUUUUGUCGGUCGAAGAUACCAGGUGGCUGCGACUGUUUAUUAAAAACACAGCACUCUGCAAACACGAAAGUGGACGUAUAGGGUGUGACGCCUGCCCGGUGCCGGAAGGUUAAUUGAUGGGGUUAUCUUCGGAGAAGCUCUUGAUCGAAGCCCCGGUAAACGGCGGCCGUAACUAUAACGGUCCUAAGGUAGCGAAAUUCCUUGUCGGGUAAGUUCCGACCUGCACGAAUGGCGUAACGAUGGCCACACUGUCUCCACCCGAGACUCAGUGAAAUUGAACUCGCUGUGAAGAUGCAGCGUACCCGCGGCUAGACGGAAAGACCCCGUGAACCUUUACUAUAGCUUCACAGUGGACUUUGAAUUUGUUUGUGUAGGAUAGGUGGGAGGCUUAGAAGCGUGGACGCUAGUCUGCGUGGAGCCAACCUUGAAAUACCACCCUGGCAACUUUGAGGUUCUAACUUAGAUCCAUUAUCUGGAUUGAGGACAUUGUGUGGUGGGUAGUUUGACUGGGGCGGUCUCCUCCCAAAGAGUAACGGAGGAGCACGAAGGUACCCUCAGGCUGGUCGGAAAUCAGCCAAUGAGCGCAAGAGUAGAAGGGUGCUUGACUGCGAGACAGACACGUCGAGCAGGUGCGAAAGCAGGUUCUAGUGAUCCGGUGGUUCUGAAUGGAAGGGCCAUCGCUCAACGGAUAAAAGGUACUCCGGGGAUAACAGGCUGAUACCGCCCAAGAGUUCACAUCGACGGCGGUGUUUGGCACCUCGAUGUCGGCUCAUCACAUCCUGGGGCUGAAGCCGGUCCCAAGGGUAUGGCUGUUCGCCAUUUAAAGUGGUACGCGAGCUGGGUUUAGAACGUCGUGAGACAGUUCGGUCCCUAUCUGCCGUGGGCGUUUGAGAUUUGAGAAGAGUUGCUCCUAGUACGAGAGGACCGGAGUGAACGAACCUCUGGUGUUCCGGUUGUCACGCCAGUGGCAUUGCCGGGUAGCUACGUUCGGACAGGAUAACCGCUGAAAGCAUCUAAGCGGGAAGCCCCCUUCAAGAUGAGAUCUCACUGGGCCCUUGAGGCCCCUAAAGAGUCGUCCGAGACCAGGACGUUGAUAGGCAGGGUGUGUAAGCGUUGUAAGGCGUUGAGCUAACCUGUACUAAUGGCUCGUGAGGCUUGACCAUAUAACGCCCAAGGCGUUUGG